AGAGUUUGAUCCUGGCUCGAUUGAACGCUGGCGGCAGGCCUAACACAUGCAAGUCGAGCGGAAACGAGUUAUCUGAACCUUCGGGGAACGAUAACGGCGUCGAGCGGCGGACGGGUGAGUAAUGCCUAGGAAAUUGCCCUGAUGUGGGGGAUAACCAUUGGAAACGAUGGCUAAUACCGCAUGAUGCCUACGGGCCAAAGAGGGGGACCUUCGGGCCUCUCGCGUCAGGAUAUGCCUAGGUGGGAUUAGCUAGUUGGUGAGGUAAGGGCUCACCAAGGCGACGAUCCCUAGCUGGUCUGAGAGGAUGAUCAGCCACACUGGAACUGAGACACGGUCCAGACUCCUACGGGAGGCAGCAGUGGGGAAUAUUGCACAAUGGGCGCAAGCCUGAUGCAGCCAUGCCGCGUGUAUGAAGAAGGCCUUCGGGUUGUAAAGUACUUUCAGUCGUGAGGAAGGUAGUGUAGUUAAUAGCUGCAUUAUUUGACGUUAGCGACAGAAGAAGCACCGGCUAACUCCGUGCCAGCAGCCGCGGUAAUACGGAGGGUGCGAGCGUUAAUCGGAAUUACUGGGCGUAAAGCGCAUGCAGGUGGUUUGUUAAGUCAGAUGUGAAAGCCCGGGGCUCAACCUCGGAAUAGCAUUUGAAACUGGCAGACUAGAGUACUGUAGAGGGGGGUAGAAUUUCAGGUGUAGCGGUGAAAUGCGUAGAGAUCUGAAGGAAUACCGGUGGCGAAGGCGGCCCCCUGGACAGAUACUGACACUCAGAUGCGAAAGCGUGGGGAGCAAACAGGAUUAGAUACCCUGGUAGUCCACGCCGUAAACGAUGUCUACUUGGAGGUUGUGGCCUUGAGCCGUGGCUUUCGGAGCUAACGCGUUAAGUAGACCGCCUGGGGAGUACGGUCGCAAGAUUAAAACUCAAAUGAAUUGACGGGGGCCCGCACAAGCGGUGGAGCAUGUGGUUUAAUUCGAUGCAACGCGAAGAACCUUACCUACUCUUGACAUCCAGAGAACUUUCCAGAGAUGGAUUGGUGCCUUCGGGAACUCUGAGACAGGUGCUGCAUGGCUGUCGUCAGCUCGUGUUGUGAAAUGUUGGGUUAAGUCCCGCAACGAGCGCAACCCUUAUCCUUGUUUGCCAGCGAGUAAUGUCGGGAACUCCAGGGAGACUGCCGGUGAUAAACCGGAGGAAGGUGGGGACGACGUCAAGUCAUCAUGGCCCUUACGAGUAGGGCUACACACGUGCUACAAUGGCGCAUACAGAGGGCGGCCAACUUGCGAAAGUGAGCGAAUCCCAAAAAGUGCGUCGUAGUCCGGAUUGGAGUCUGCAACUCGACUCCAUGAAGUCGGAAUCGCUAGUAAUCGUGGAUCAGAAUGCCACGGUGAAUACGUUCCCGGGCCUUGUACACACCGCCCGUCACACCAUGGGAGUGGGCUGCAAAAGAAGUAGGUAGUUUAACCUUCGGGGGGACGCUUACCACUUUGUGGUUCAUGACUGGGGUGAAGUCGUAACAAGGUAGCC
Molecule: ribosomal RNA, 1513 nt
Filed under: Vibrio parahaemolyticus
Lineage: Bacteria; Pseudomonadati; Pseudomonadota; Gammaproteobacteria; Vibrionales; Vibrionaceae
Description: 16S ribosomal RNA
Rfam family: Bacterial small subunit ribosomal RNA
Source: RNAcentral